UGAGUGCUAGGUGUUGGACAGUGCCGCAGCUAACGCAUUAAGCACUCCGCCUGGGGAGUACGACCGCAAGGUUGAAACUCAAAGGAAUUGACGGGGGCCCGCACAAGCGUGGAGCAUGUGGUUUAAUUCGAAGCUACGCGAAGAACCUUACCAGGUCUUGACAUCCAGGUGGUGCAUGGUCGUCGUCAGCUCGUGUCGUGAGAUGUUGGGUUAAGUCCCGCAACGAGCGCAACCCUUGUUACUAGUUGCCACUCUAGUGAGACUGCCGGUGACAAACCGGAGGAAGGUGGGGACGACGUCAGAUCAUCAUGCCCCUUAUGACCUGGGCUACACACGUGCUACAAUGGACGGUACAACGAGUUGCGAACUCGCGAGGGCAAGCUAAUCUCUUAAAACCGCUCUCAGUUCGGACUGCAGGCUGCAACUCGCCUGCACGAAGUCGGAAUCGCUAGUAAUCGCGGAUCAGAUGCCGCGGUGAAUACGUUCCCGGGCCUUGUACACACCGCCCGUCACACCAUGAGAGUUUGCAACACCCAAAGUCGGCGCCUAAGGUGGGGCAGAUGAUUAGGGUGAGUGUAACAAGGAACCGAGGG
This 593-nucleotide ribosomal RNA is filed under the name uncultured bacterium. Its description in RNAcentral is "bacterial SSU rRNA". It matches the Rfam family "Bacterial small subunit ribosomal RNA", at positions 810 to 1505 of the family's 1533-position model. The record is from RNAcentral.